CAGAGGUGGCAAGCGUUGUUCGGAAUUACUGGGCGUAAAGGGCGCGUAGGCGGUUCGUUAAGUCCUGUGUGAAAUCCCCCGGCUCAACUGGGGGAACUGCACAGGAAACUAGCGGGCUUGAGUUCGGGAGAGGGAAGCGGAAUUCCGGGUGUAGCGGUGAAAUGCGUAGAUAUCCGGAGGAACACCGGUGGCGAAGGCGGCUUCCUGGACCGACACUGACGCUGAGGCGCGAAAGCUAGGGGAGCAAACGGGAUUAGAUACCCCGGUAGUCCUAGCUGUAAACGAUGAGUGCUGGUGUAGGGGGUAUUAACCCCCCCUGUGCCGAAGCUAACGCAUUAAGCACUCCGCCUGGGGAGUACGGUCGCAAGGCUG
Molecule: ribosomal RNA, 372 nt
Filed under: uncultured organism
Description: bacterial SSU rRNA
Rfam family: Bacterial small subunit ribosomal RNA
Source: RNAcentral